Molecule: non-coding RNA, 1386 nt
Organism: Misgurnus anguillicaudatus (oriental weatherfish)
Lineage: Eukaryota; Metazoa; Chordata; Actinopteri; Cypriniformes; Cobitidae
Source: RefSeq, a predicted model, not a curated record
UGUUCUGAUCCUGGUUCUCUUCUUGAAGAGCUGGAAGUGGCGGCAGGAGGAGUGGCAUCGGGUGGAGGCUUCUGUGAAGUACAGGGAAGUUUCAGCUUUGAGGUACACAUUGUUUGUUUGGAAAAAAGCUCACAGAAGCUAAAACCAGAUGUAUGCAGCUUUGCCAGGCGUGCAGCACCAGCGUAAACCAGCUAAGACCACUCUUCUAGCUUUCAGCAUGGUAAAGCUGGUUUUUCAAUCUGAACAGCUAAAAGUGGACUCUAAAAACCUCUCUAAAACCAGCCUGCUACACCAGCUAAAACCAAACUGGGAGAUCAGAUCAACUAGGUCCACGUGCUCAUCUCCACUCAAACCUUUGCAGAGAAAUGAAACAGUGACUGCAUGUUUGAUCUACAGUCGCCACCUAGUGGUGAUAAAAAUGAAUAGCAUUAACAGAAAGUAUGACUUCAACAUGUUUUUGGUGGUAUGGUACAGUGCUUUAUAUAGAUUAAUGGUAUAUGGUACAGUCGUCUUUAGCUUAAAGGUAAAUAUAACAGUGAAUGAAGAUAAUUUUUAAACUGUGUUUAGAUGUAGUUCAAUAAAGUUCAGAGUAUCAGUGAAGCAAGUUUGAGAGAUUUUUACAUAAAAUCUAUAAUGUAAAAAAUAUAAUCUUGAUAUCUUUAAUAAGGUCAAUUUUUAAAUAAGGUCUAUCUCUAUUUACAGUUGUUUUAUGCCACAUUUAACCUCCUAAGACCUGGAUGUCACAUAUGUGGACAUCAAUGUUUUUGUUGUUUGCAUCAUAAUACUUAAUUCUGUGUAACUGGAACCUGUUAUACACAAACAUGGACAAAUACACUGCUUCAUGUUCAAAGAAAAAUAUUUGGUUAUUAUAUUUAUUGGUUCCCCAAAAUAGCUGGUAAAAAUCUGGAAAAAAAAGUCUAACCAAAGCUCGGGUUCAGGAGGUUAAUUUAGGCUUCAUGUUAUCUGACCAAUGAUAGGAGAUUGUUGCAUAAAAUUGGUUUGGGGCAGACAAAAUUAUUUUGGUAGUGGAAACCUUUUUAAUUUCUUUUCCUCUCAUCUCAUACAGUAUUUUUGUCCACUGCCAUGACCCUUUAGUCUCUGUGGUGGUUCUUCAUCAGUCAACAUGUCAAAUGUUCUUUAAUGUUUUUGGGAAUUAAUAUUAAGUGUUUAGUGAAUUUAACCCUGCAGUAAACCCAGCAAUAUGUAACUCUGCUGAUGCUUCAACUGCUGUAAGGGAUGAGGGAUUAUUAGCUAACUUAAUGUCUGUUUUUGCCAGUGUUUAACUAUUUGAUAUGUGUGAAGGAUUUUGAGCAAUGAAAAAAACUUUCGUAUGUAUCAUGCAUUAAAAUAUAUGACCUUUGAUGCUUUUUGAUGAUUUAAAUAAAA